This 627-nucleotide ribosomal RNA is filed under the name uncultured bacterium. RNAcentral describes it as "SSU rRNA". It matches the Rfam family "Bacterial small subunit ribosomal RNA", at positions 300 to 944 of the family's 1533-position model. The record is from RNAcentral.
GUGAACGGCCACACUGGAACUGAGACACGGUCCAGACUCCUACGGGAGGCAGCAGUGGGGAAUAUUGCACAAUGGAGGAAACUCUGAUGCAGCGACGCCGCGUGAGUGAAGAAGGUUUUCGGAUCGUAAAACUCUGUCCUUGGUGAAGAAAGAAAUGACGGUAGCCAAGGAGGAAGCCCCGGCUAACUACGUGCCAGCAGCCGCGGUAAUACGUAGGGGGCGAGCGUUGUCCGGAUUUACUGGGCGUAAAGGGUGAGUAGGCGGUAAUAUGUGUCAGAUGUAAAAGGCUAAGGCUUAACCAUAGUUAGCAUUUGAAACUGUAUUACUUGAGUGCAGGAGAGGUAAGUGGAAUUCCUAGUGUAGCGGUGAAAUGCGUAGAUAUUAGGAGGAACACCAGUGGCGAAGGCGACUUACUGGACUGUAACUGACGCUGAGUCACGAAAGCGUGGGUAGCAAACAGGAUUAGAUACCCUGGUAGUCCACGCUGUAAACGAUGAGUGCUAGGUGUUGGGUAGCGAUAUUCAGUGCCGAAGUUAACACAAUAAGCACUUCGCCUGGGGAGUACGGUCGCAAGACUGAAACUCAAAGGAAUUGACGGGGUACCCGCACAAGCAGCGGAGCAUGUGG